CAAACUUGUGUUACAGCCUUAGCCAGUCACUUUUGACCGGUUAAGUGAAGAAAGUGUGCAUUUUGUUACGUAUAAUGAAGUUUGGGGUGUACUUAGACACUUUUUUAAAUGUGGGAGUGUAAAAAUAAAUAGAGAAUAAAUUUGGGGUGCAAAUUAUCUUUUAGCCUUUAUUUUAUUAUCUUCUUCCUAUUAAAUUGUAGAACCAUACUACUCAAAUAGACAAUCCAUUGAGAGGAUGUUUGGAUUGCUGACAAGUAGUCAAACUUAUUUAUAAUUAAUUUUAAUAAGAGAAAGAGUUUGGUAAUCAGAUUUAUAAAAUUGUUUAUAAUCGAUGAAAAUAAUCA
Molecule: long non-coding RNA, 344 nt
Filed under: Panax ginseng (ginseng)
Lineage: Eukaryota; Viridiplantae; Streptophyta; Magnoliopsida; Apiales; Araliaceae
Description: long non-coding RNA (PGIN_LNC016986)
Source: RNAcentral